AACCUGGCCUGGCAACAUCACCUCUUCUGGGCUCCAUUUUAUCAUUGCUGAGUUGGAAAGAGGGAGCAAUUGUCAGAUCCCUUGCUGGCCACUGUGGGUGAACCCCAGAUCAUUAACCCUGGACCUCAAAGGUGGUGUGUGUAUAUGAGGUGAACCUGGGAGAAAUCUCCUCUAACAGCAAGUGGAAUGUAAGGGUGCUCAGGGCAAGAGAACUGGGAGAACUCAUCAGACUAUAAACAGCCAGCCAAAGGGGGCAUUGCUCGCCUCUGAGCCCCUGGCCUGGGCUGUGACUGACCUACAGAGACCACUGGAUAUCCUUCCUCAUCUAAACAGGAUAAAAUGACUGCAUUUGAAUUUCACUCACCCGAGAUGGUUCCUCCCCUCUGCCUGCAAUGACCCUGGAUUCUGGCUCACUUCUGGCUUCUUACUGAACACGUCACAGCUAAGACUAAGCACCAUGUAUCAGCUUCCACUGAUCCUGAAAGAAAAUACUGUUUGAAAAAAGCUUCUUUCAUGCACAGCUUCAAGAAAAUCAGAACACCAUUCACUUCUCAAACCACCCAUAAGGUAAUUCAAGUGUCAAAAAGUGUUCAACGCAAACAGAAGAAGGGGAGAGGGAGCAUGAUACAGUCUGAGAAUUUUUUUUUGUAUUCAAAAGUGUUUCCCUUUUAAUGUUCAGCAAUUUUCAUGACAUGUGAAUAGUAUUCUAAGCUGUUA
Molecule: non-coding RNA, 717 nt
Organism: Delphinapterus leucas (beluga whale)
Lineage: Eukaryota; Metazoa; Chordata; Mammalia; Artiodactyla; Monodontidae
Source: RefSeq, a predicted model, not a curated record